This is an RNA transcript of Mytilus californianus (California mussel), 2889 nucleotides long. RefSeq lists it as uncharacterized. Lineage: Eukaryota; Metazoa; Mollusca; Bivalvia; Mytilida; Mytilidae. The transcript has 7 exons. The record is from RefSeq and is a predicted model, not a curated record.
AUCAGAUUUAUAUCUACAUAUAUAUUCUUGUAACAUUUUAACGUUUAGUAGAUCAUACCACUAUUAAAUCUACUCAGAUUUUUGUUUAUGGCCUAAACUACAUUUCAUAUGAAACGACAAAUCGAGUUUUUUAAGUCACAAGAAUGUGGUGUUCAGUAUGUAGGAGAACCAGAACAAGCUUAAGCCAACGUACAGAAAAAAAACAGAUUUCACAUUUGAGGAUAUAUAUAGAAAAUAAAGGUAUUAGAUUAUCAACGUUCAAAUAAAUAUAUGCAUUUUCUAUGAUUAUAAAUAAGAAGAUGUGGUAUGAGUGCCAAUGAGACAACUAUCCAUCCAAAUUACAAUGUGUAAAAAGUAAACAAUUAUAGGUCAAUGUACGGCCUUCAACACGGAGCCUUGGCUCACACCGAACAGCAAGCUAUAAAGGGCCCUGAAAAGACUAGUGUAAAACAAUUUAAACAGGAUAACCAACGGUCUAAUCUAUAUAAAAAUGAGAAACGAGAAACACUUAUUAAACACACCAACAAACGGCAACCACUGAACAACAGGCUCUUGACUUAGGACAUGUGCACUUCAUACUGAAUAUUCCCUUGGUCUAAAAUAAUACGAAAAUACCAUCCUGGGUAAUGGCAAACAAAUAAAAAAACAAUCUCUUGAUAUAAAAGAUCUGACCCCAAAAUUAAACCUCAGUGUUAAGUUUUGUCUUAUCGGACUUUUUAUAUGUUUUAAUAUGCCCUUUUCAGAUCCAAUGGAGAAGAAAUUGAAAUCAAUGGUGAUGUUCAAAACAGCGAUCCAUCAGCCAUACCUUUAACCUCAUACGAUGAUAAAACGAAGAACGCAGAUAGAGAUUAAAAAGACAUUAUGCUAACGAUUACUGUGUAUCUGUUACGAGUUUUCGUUACCUUAGCAGUUGAGUCCAGACCCAGCACACCAUGUACACGACAAGAAAGUUAACGCGGCGUUAACUCAUGUGCACGUCAUGUAAACGCCACGUUUAUUAUAUGUAAACCACACAAUUGUAUUAGACACAAAUAGUAAACUCGCGUUUUCUUUCACGACAACUUUAGCAUCAACGUGAAAACCGCGCUUUUUAUUAAUUUCUGCUUAAAGUAAUCGCAGGUUUACUGUUUGUACUGAACGUGAAAUAACGCAGUUUGUCAUAGUAUUUUGGAUGGGGACCCUAAUUUACGAGGUAUAAACCAAAGGGUCGAAAUAUCUUAAUCCAAAAAUCAUAAACUGGAUACACAACUUUAGAAUACUUAUACGUUUAAUAGAUUCAAUAGAUUCAAUAUGACACUAUUCCUACAAAGGAUUAAACGUGAACAGAAGACGUAGAUACUCCUUUUGAAUAGGACAAGGCUGUGACAUCGUUGAAACAAAUGGUGAUAGAAAGAAAUAUACGUUCAUGUACACUCGUGUAACAUUUCUUCAUUAAACAAAUAUUGCUAAACCUUUGUCCUACAUCACGGACACGAACUUUAUUUACCCUCUUUAUUCGUGAUAGAACCAAUGUUAUUUAUUAUUGAUUUCUAAAUAACUGUGAUAAAUACUAUUUCAUCUUAUCCUUAUGUUAUAUAUAUAGUAUCCCUCAUUAUCCCUGAUGAUCGAAUAUACUUCGUCCCAAAUUUAUGCCAAUAUAACCACAGGUUAUCCGAUAGAUAACGUCUGUCGUAAAGUUGUUCCAAAUUUAGAUGUAUAUAUAAGGCUGAAAAUGCACUAAAUAUUUAUAUUCAAUAUGAAUAAUCACAUUUUGUCUAUUAAGACAUCAAAUUGUUUUAAAAUGUUCUCCAUAAUUUCCUACCGAUUUACUGUUUCAUAGAUAUUCAUGGAUAUGGAAAUUAUGGAGAACAUUUUAGAAGAAUUUGAUGUCUUAUAGACAAAAUGUGAUUAUAAACUAAAGAAAAUAUAAUUGUUCUAGCAAGCGGGAAGAAGGAAGAGAAAAGAAAUUCAUUGUAUUUAACUAAAUAAGAUAACAAAAAGCUGUUAUAUUUCCACAAAAUAUAGUUUAUCGCACUAUCAUGAAACAUAUAAUACAUACAUGGGUCAUUAAGCAUUUGUUUCAACCAGACUUUUAAAUAGGGACAUAAAACGGAAGAAUACUAUAUUACAAAUCAUUAUACAUAGACAGUUUAAAAUAGAACACUGUAAUAAAUUUAUCAACUGCUUUCAUGGAGUAAAACGAAACUAGAUGCAUCUUGGAUCAUAGUUCGCUCACUUGGAUGUAUUUUGCACUGAAAGUGACACUAGGCUUUCAUUAUAAACAAACGUGAUAACAGGGAAUCAAGCAUGCAGUUAUUGAGCCUAUUUUGUCUGUUUUAUACUCUGCUGUUUAUAUAUAGAGUUGGUUGUUUUAGAAAUUCCAACAGUUCAGCCAUAUCUAAAAUAAUCUACAAAUUUAAUAACCAAACGAUUCCAGAAAACCAUACACUAGGCUGUACAGAUAAAGAAACACAAACAUUAGCCUGUUUGAAUGGAGGAGUUUGCUUUGUAGUUGAUGCAAACUAUAGAAAAGCACGAUGUGCAUGUAACAUAGAAUAUAUAGGUAACCGCUGUGAAAUCAAAGAUCAGAACAUGGAUUUACAACAAUUUUCAAAAGAGAAAAAAGGCAUGAAUGGACUAAUUCCCGGUAUAACAGCAUUAAUUGUCAUUGUACUUAUUGUUAGUUUGACAGUUAUAUACAUAAGAGGGAUUGAAAGGAAUGAUAGUAAAAUUCCCCAUCAUGGUACAUCUGAGAACCAGUACAAAGUUGAAGUCUGAACAGUAAUAUGCCACUUUACUUCUCAUAUAAUUGUUGUUUUGGUUUGAAAUUUCCUUAUUUAUUUCUUUCAUAAAACAUUUUAAUUUGCUAAAAUCUAUCAAAAUAUGAAAAAAUUAAAAUUUUUAAUACAC